RNAcentral lists this transfer RNA (83 nucleotides) under Planctomycetaceae bacterium. RNAcentral's name for it is "tRNA-Ser". It matches the Rfam family "tRNA". Rfam says of the family: Transfer RNA (tRNA) molecules are approximately 80 nucleotides in length. Their secondary structure includes four short double-helical elements and three loops (D, anti-codon, and T loops). The record is from RNAcentral. Lineage: Bacteria; Pseudomonadati; Planctomycetota; Planctomycetia; Planctomycetales; Planctomycetaceae.
GGAGGGUAAGCGAAUUGGCUAGCAGACUGAUUCGAAAUCAGUUGCCGGGUUUCCGGUUGUGGGUUCGAGUCCCAUGCCCUCCG